CCUACGGGGGGCAGCAGUGAGGAAUAUUGGUCAAUGGGCGUAAGCCUGAACCAGCCAAGUCGCGUGAGGGAUGAAGGUUCUAUGGAUCGUAAACCUCUUUUAUAAGGGAAUAAAGUGCGGGACGUGUCCCGUUUUGUAUGUACCUUAUGAAUAAGGAUCGGCUAACUCCGUGCCAGCAGCCGCGGUAAUACGGAGGAUCCGAGCGUUAUCCGGAUUUAUUGGGUUUAAAGGGUGCGUAGGCGGCCUGUUAAGUCAGCGGUGAAAGUCUGGGGCUCAACCAUGGAAUUGCUGUUGAAACUGGGGGGUUGGAGUUGGGUGGGGGGAGGCGGAAUGUGUGGUGGAGGGGUGAA
This 350-nucleotide ribosomal RNA is filed under the name uncultured bacterium. Its description in RNAcentral is "partial 16S ribosomal RNA". It matches the Rfam family "Bacterial small subunit ribosomal RNA", at positions 338 to 685 of the family's 1533-position model. The record is from RNAcentral.